AAGUGAUCGUUAUAUCAAUAAAAAAUUUGACGACCAUCACCAGUCAAAGAAAUUACUAUUCUGGUGUUCGAUUCGAUUUGUUGGGAGUCGUAAAGGCCUUCAACAGGUUGUUUCUCCUCAAGAUUUACAUCACAAUGUCCUAACAAAAUGCCUUUUUUUUUUGUUGUUUCACAAACGUCAACUUCAAACUUCUUCAGUCAUCAAUCUGAAGUGAUAAAAUUCCUGUUUAAUUUAUAUUGUACCAUGGGUGUCUACACACGUGUGAAAAGAAUCUGUCUUAUCAACGCCCACGGCCCCCAAACAAUCCUGUUCAUAUUUUUCAUCCUGCUGUUUUUGGCCUAUUACACUUUGGUACACAUUUUGCUUGAAAAAGUUGAGCCCUCAAGCGUGGACAUUAGAAGAGACAACAAUGAUGAUAUUGAUUAACCCCCCAAUAAAACCCCAUAACUCAUA
Aethina tumida (small hive beetle) is the source of this 453-nucleotide long non-coding RNA. RefSeq lists it as uncharacterized. The record is from RefSeq and is a predicted model, not a curated record. The transcript is spliced from 2 exons. NCBI's taxonomy places the organism in Eukaryota, Metazoa, Arthropoda, Insecta, Coleoptera, Nitidulidae.